This 73-nucleotide transfer RNA is filed under the name Bacteroidota bacterium. Its description in RNAcentral is "Bacteroidetes bacterium (activated sludge metagenome) tRNA-Trp". It matches the Rfam family "tRNA". Rfam says of the family: Transfer RNA (tRNA) molecules are approximately 80 nucleotides in length. Their secondary structure includes four short double-helical elements and three loops (D, anti-codon, and T loops). The record is from RNAcentral. Lineage: Bacteria; Pseudomonadati; Bacteroidota. RNAcentral also lists the same sequence under 1 other name.
ACGGGUGUAGCUCAAUUGGCAGAGCGGCGGUCUCCAAAACCGUAGGCUGGGGGUUCAAGUCCCUCCUCCCGUG